GUCUUUGUUUUGUCUUUAACCCAGCUUUAUGUCAGACAUUGAUGGGAAUAUUAUCAGGAAUAUUAUCAGACCCAUCACAGAGGGUCUACUAUCCAGAGGUGUUCAGCUACAUCAAACACGCAAGAUGAAGAGACCUCUUCGUUCAAGACAAGAAAAUAGUAGUAGCUUUGAUCUGAAGAGGAAGAUGAAGCAAGCGACGACGAGAGUCCGCCAAGCCCAACGGAAAAGCAGUCCCUCCUCCGACGAUCGCCCCAACCGCAGAUCAUUUUCAAUGAUGAAUAAAAAAGUGUGGAGCAUAGAGUGUUAGUGAACCCCCUUGAGGAGCUGCGUGUUUUGAUGUUUUCUUCAACUCGAGCAAUAGAGAGAGAUUGUACAAACCAUUGCCUGAGCUAGUGUCGCUGGAGAACAGCUCAUUUUCGACAAUUUACACUGUCAGAUUACAAGCAAAGGUUCUUCAGUAAAGAGUUGGAGGGAAAGACCUUCACAAAUUACUGUAGGCUUUGAAACACAAGAUAGACUUACAUGUAUGAUUUGUGUCAUAUAAACAAUAAUGAUUGUCAAUGUUAUUUGUGAAAUUAUGAAUUUAUAAUUGUCAAUGUUGAAUAAUUUAUUCUCUACUAAAAUUUGUACUCUUGUUGAACAAAUUUUUAUUGAAAAUUAUUAAGCUAUAAGAUGAGAAAGCAAUGUUCAUGGUGUAACAA
Molecule: non-coding RNA, 701 nt
Organism: Camellia sinensis
Lineage: Eukaryota; Viridiplantae; Streptophyta; Magnoliopsida; Ericales; Theaceae
Source: RefSeq, a predicted model, not a curated record